Molecule: long non-coding RNA, 524 nt
Filed under: Salmo salar (Atlantic salmon)
Lineage: Eukaryota; Metazoa; Chordata; Actinopteri; Salmoniformes; Salmonidae
Description: lncRNA (ENSSSAG00000093573.1)
Source: RNAcentral
CUCCACAUCGCCCACCAUUCACAAAGCCUCAGGGUGAGUGUCUCUCCUCUCAUUGGUCCAUACUCCACAUCGCCCACCAAUCACAAAGCCUCAGGGUGAGUGUCUCUCCUCUCAUUGGUCCAUACUCCACAUCACCCACCAUUCACAAAGCCUCAGGGUGAGUGUCUCUCCUCUCAUUGGUCCAUACUCCACAUCACCCACCAAUCACAAAGCCUCAGGGUGAGGUGUCUCUCCUCUCAUUGGUCCAUACUCCACAUCACCCACCAAUCACAAAGCCUCAGGGUGAGUGUCUCUCCUCUCAUUGGUCCAUACUCCACAUCGCCCACCAUUCACAAAGCCUCAGGGUGAGUGUCUCUCCUCUCAUUGGUCCAUACUCCACAUCACCCACCAUUCACAAAGCCUCAGGGUGAGUGUCUCUCCUCUCAUUGGUCCAUACUCCACAUCGCCCACCAAUCACAAAGCCUCAGGGUGAGGUGUCUCUCCUCUCAUUGGUCCAUACUCCACAUCACCCACCAAUCAGAAAG